Molecule: long non-coding RNA, 1161 nt
Organism: Python bivittatus (Burmese python)
Lineage: Eukaryota; Metazoa; Chordata; Lepidosauria; Squamata; Pythonidae
Source: RefSeq, a predicted model, not a curated record
CCUGCAACCCGCUGGCCUGGUGUCUGCUUUCUGUUUAUUGAAGCAAAAGCUUCAGGGCUGCUAAGCUUGCGUCCUGCUCAGCCGAAAGACCGAGGUGGCUUCUGCCCCUCGUGGGGCAUCCGCCUCGUGGUUAGAGCCAGUUCCGUCUCAAUAAGUCAGCUGUCCUGGGUUUGAAGAUCAUUGAGAAAGCAAUUCCUUCUCGCCAUCAGCACCAAUUCUGCAGAGGUUGUAAGGAAGCCCCUCUUCUCCUUUUGCAGUGUGAGAGACAGAGGAAGAGGAAGAUCAAGAAUGCUGCAAUAUUAAGAGAGAAUGCAGGCCCAUGUGAAGACAAAGAAAAAGAGGGUCCCCAUCCACUAAUGGGACCAUCAUUGGUCCUGUUAAUUCAUCUGAUGGAGUUCAGGAGCCAAAAGAACAACUAAAGUUGACAGAGAACCAAGAAAUAUGUUCUGGUUUAUAUCUUGGCUGCGGGUCCCAAACAUGGCAUGCCAGGACCAAGGACAUCUCGGAUGCAAAUGCAUCUGUCGCUCGGCCAGCUCCUUUAUUUCCCAGCCAAACUGUAACCGACAGUCGUCGAGAGGGUCAAGUCUCCUUCUCCAAGUUCCAAGAAGAGAAUUUAUAGCUCGUAAACUUGAGCCGUGCAGUCUGAUUCACAGGGCUCAUGAACGUUUUUUGUACUUCUGAGAAAUUCAUUUGUGAACAUGAUUGACUUUAAACAUUUCUCCCUCUGUCCAACUGAAUUGGAGAAGUGUUAUUCCAAGGAAUCAUUUUAUUUGUUUAAAAGCCGUUCCUCGGGUACAAUAAAACCUGGAAUUAUAACACAGAGGAGGUUUCGAAAGGGCUUCCUGUGGUUGCAGUUUUUGUUUAUUCACUAAUUCAUUCAGCACCAUCAAUGGAGUUGUGUAAAGAAUUUGCUUUGACGGCGGGGACAAAUGGGAGAAGCUGACGGCUCAAGCAAUAACAUUCAGCCAGUGGGAUCGUGUAUGGUGCUAUGUGAUAUGAAUUGCACUCAGAAUUCAUGUUGAAGGCAGUUAUGUGCACAGUUCCUCACUUGCUUGUGCACAAACUAGGCUGGACCAAGAAAUAAAUAAAUUUUAUCCGAUUUGUCGCUUCUUUCGAAGGUGAAGAAAUCAUAUGAUGUACUAGAAUUUUCUCAGGGGAAGA